ACGGAAGGCAGCAGUUGGGAAUAUUGCACAAUGGGGGAAACCCUGAUGCAGCAACGCCACGUGUGGGAAGAAGCAUUUCGGUGUGUAAACCACUGUCGUGAGGGAAUAAUGCUUGGUCUCGGCCAAGUUGAAUGUACCUCGAAAGGAAGCACCGGCAAACUUCGUUCCAGCAGCCGCGGUAAUACGAGGGGUGCAAGCGUUGUUCGGAAUCACUGGGCGUAAAGGGAGCGCAGGCGGAGAUGCAAGCAGUGUGUGCAAUACCGGGGCCCAACCCCGGAACUGCAGACUGAACUGUUGCUCUUGGAUAGUUCAGGGGCAAGCGGAAUUCCUGGUGUAGCGGUGGAAUGCGUAGAGAUCAGGAAGAACACCGAUGGCGAAGGCAGCUUGCUGGGGACUUAUCGACGCUGAGGCUCGAAAGUGCGGGUAGCAAACAGGAUUAGAUACCCUGGUA
This 451-nucleotide ribosomal RNA is filed under the name uncultured Fibrobacter sp. Its description in RNAcentral is "bacterial SSU rRNA". It matches the Rfam family "Bacterial small subunit ribosomal RNA", at positions 341 to 792 of the family's 1533-position model. The record is from RNAcentral. Lineage: Bacteria; Pseudomonadati; Fibrobacterota; Fibrobacteria; Fibrobacterales; Fibrobacteraceae.